GACGGAGGGGGCUAGCGUUGUUCGGAAUGACUGGGCGUAAAGGGCGCGUAGGCGGUUUUUUAAGUGAGGCGUGAAAGCCCUGGGCUUAACCCAGGAGGUGCGUUUCAUACUGGAAAGCUUGAGUGCGAGAGAGGAAAGUGGAAUUCCUAGUGUAGAGGUGAAAUUCGUAGAUAUUAGGAAGAACACCAGUGGCGAAGGCGACUUUCUGGCUCGCAACUGACGCUGAGGCGCGAAAGCGUGGGGAGCAAACAGG
RNAcentral lists this ribosomal RNA (253 nucleotides) under uncultured bacterium. Its description in RNAcentral is "partial 16S ribosomal RNA". It matches the Rfam family "Bacterial small subunit ribosomal RNA", at positions 524 to 776 of the family's 1533-position model. The record is from RNAcentral.